RNAcentral lists this transfer RNA (67 nucleotides) under Rhynchotermes nasutissimus. RNAcentral describes it as "tRNA-Arg". Lineage: Eukaryota; Metazoa; Arthropoda; Insecta; Blattodea; Termitidae. The record is from RNAcentral.
AAGUGAGAAGCGACUUCGCAAUCAGUUUCGACCUGAUCUUAGAUAAUAUCAAUUUUAUCCUCACUUU